AGUGGGGAAUAUUGCACAAUGGGGGAAACCCUGAUGCAGCAAUGCCGCGUGAGUGAUGACGGCCUUCGGGUUGUAAAGCUCUGUCUUCGGGGACGAUAAUGACGGUACCCGAGGAGGAAGCCACGGCUAACUACGUGCCAGCAGCCGCGGUAAUACGUAGGUGGCAAGCGUUGUCCGGAUUUACUGGGCGUAAAGGGAGCGUAGGCGGACUUUUAAGUGAGAUGUGAAAUACCCGAGCUCAACUUGGGUGCUGCAUUUCAAACUGGAAGUCUAGAGUGCAGGAGAGGAGAAGGGAAUUCCUAGUGUAGCGGUGAAAUGCGUAGAGAUUAGGAAGAACACCAGUGGCGAAGGCGCUUCUCUGGACUGUAACUGACGCUGAGGCUCGAAAGCGUGGGGAGCAAA
Molecule: ribosomal RNA, 402 nt
Filed under: Clostridium celatum
Lineage: Bacteria; Bacillati; Bacillota; Clostridia; Eubacteriales; Clostridiaceae
Description: bacterial SSU rRNA
Rfam family: Bacterial small subunit ribosomal RNA
Source: RNAcentral